Molecule: ribosomal RNA, 1092 nt
Filed under: Platidiolus vandykei
Lineage: Eukaryota; Metazoa; Arthropoda; Insecta; Coleoptera; Carabidae
Description: partial 28S large subunit ribosomal RNA
Rfam family: Eukaryotic large subunit ribosomal RNA
Source: RNAcentral
GCCCAGCACUGAAGCCCACAAUCGGAUAACGGUUGUCGGGCAAUGUAGUGUUUAGGAGAGCCCGUUUAACCUGAUACAUUUAUUAGCGAGUUCAAGUCCUUCUUGAAGGGGGCCACACGCCCAUAGAGGGUGCCAGGCCCGUAGUGACCGUUAAUAUGUUCAGGUGGGUCUUCUCCUUAGAGUCGGGUUGCUUGAGAGUGCAGCUCUAAGUGGGUGGUAAACUCCAUCUAAGGCUAAAUAUAACCACGAGACCGAUAGCGAACAAGUACCGUGAGGGAAAGUUGAAAAGAACUUUGAAGAGAGAGUUCAAGAGUACGUGAAACCGUUCAGGGGUAAACCUGAGAAACCCGAAAGUUCGAACGAGGAGAUUCAAUUGCUUUUUCCGAUAGUUACCAAUAUGGCAGUGCUCGAGACAAUAUAUGACUGAUAUGAUUUCGAUUGUAUUUGCUUAUAUGUUGCUCCAUUGUCUAUUGAUAUGUAUAUUAUCCGGAGGCAUGCACUUCUCCUCUUGUAGGACGUCGCGACCCGUUGGGCUCACACACGCAAUAACAUUGUUAUUGUGUGUAAAAGUUAUCUAAGGCCCAUGGUGAUCAGACCGUAGCAUGUAUGUUUACGCAUAUAUGUCUCGGACCCCUGGUGUCCCGAUAGCUGCCUGACGGUAUCUGAUUCUGGUGAUGGAACGCUGAUAUAUUCAGUGUGAGAGCGUUUAUUGCAACUCGUAACAAGUUAUUAUUAUGUUAUGGAAACACGGACCACGUUGCCGGUUCUGUACAUAUAAUGCUGUUAGUUACCGAUGUUCUUGAACAGUUUCUAUCACUUGUCGGCGACGCUUCAGUUUUGGGUAAUUUCAGGACCCGUCUUGAAACACGGACCAAGGAGUCUAGCAUGUGCGCGAGUCAUUGGGCUCAAUUAGAAACCUAAAGGCGUAAUGAAAGUGAAUGUUUGCCACACAUGCAUUUAACAUUGUAUAUUUAUAUGCUGUGUUUUUUGUGUGCCUGUGCGUAAACUAAGGGAAGAUGGGUGGUCCAUAUAUUAAUGUAAAAAUUAGUAUAUAUCAGAUGACUGCCUCGCAUUCCCGGGGCGUCGCUAUAA